UACAGAGGUGGCAAGCGUUGUUCGGAAUUACUGGGCGUAAAGGGCGCGUAGGCGGUUGCCUAAGUCGGACGUGAAAUCCCCAAGCUUAACUUGGGAACUGCAUCUGAUACUGGGUGACUUGAGUUCGGGAGAGGAAUGUGGAAUUCCAGGUGUAGCGGUGAAAUGCGUAGAUAUCUGGAGGAACACCGGUGGCGGAGGCGGCAUUCUGGACCGAAACUGACGCUGAGGCGCGAAAGCCAGGGGAGCAAACGGG
Molecule: ribosomal RNA, 253 nt
Filed under: uncultured bacterium
Lineage: Bacteria
Description: partial 16S ribosomal RNA
Rfam family: Bacterial small subunit ribosomal RNA
Source: RNAcentral